This 68-nucleotide transfer RNA is filed under the name Ictidomys tridecemlineatus (thirteen-lined ground squirrel). RNAcentral describes it as "Spermophilus tridecemlineatus (thirteen-lined ground squirrel) tRNA". It matches the Rfam family "tRNA". From Rfam's summary of the family: Transfer RNA (tRNA) molecules are approximately 80 nucleotides in length. The record is from Rfam by way of RNAcentral. Lineage: Eukaryota; Metazoa; Chordata; Mammalia; Rodentia; Sciuridae.
GGAGCUGGAGCUCAGUGGAGAGCACUUGUCUCACACAUAUGAGGCACUGGGUUCGAUUCUUAGCACCA